GCGCGCCAAAUGAAGAAGAUGAUGGCUGCCAUUCCCACGCGCCCACGCAAGUUUGCUAGGCUGAUGACAAAGAAGGGAGACAACAUAAUUAGAAAAGGAAAAAGGAAAAAGAAAAAGUAAAAUCCUUUUUUAAAGGAAAUAAUUAUGUUGGAAAGCCAUGAUGAUGUCUGGAGGCUGGAAAUGGGAAUUUCAAACGGGGGCGCCUAUUUAAGCCAUUGACCAAGCCAUUAAGCCAUUGACCAAGCUGUUGACCGGUCAACCCGAGCCGUUGACCGAGCCAAGCCGCGUUGACCAC
This 295-nucleotide long non-coding RNA is filed under the name Actinidia chinensis (golden kiwifruit). Its description in RNAcentral is "long non-coding RNA (ACHI_LNC008077)". The record is from RNAcentral. Lineage: Eukaryota; Viridiplantae; Streptophyta; Magnoliopsida; Ericales; Actinidiaceae.